CCUACGGGUGGCAGCAGUGGGGAAUAUUGCACAAUGGGCGCAACCCUGAUGCAGCGACGCCGCGUGAGCGAUGAAGUCUUUCGGUAUGUAAAGCUCUAUCAGCAGGGAAGAAAAUGACGGUACCUGACUCCGAAGCCCCGGCUAACUACGUGCCAGCAGCCGCGGUAAUACGGAGGGGGCAAGCGUUCUCCGGAUUUACUGGGUGUAAAGGGAGCGUAGACGGCGAUGCAAGCCAGAUGUGAAAGCCCGGGGCUCAACCCCGGGACUGCAGUUGAAACUGGAUAGCUGGAGUGUCGGAGAGGCAGGCGGAAUUCGUGGUGUAGCGGUGAAAUGCGUAGAUAUUAGGAGGAACACCAGUGGCGAAGGCGGCCUGCUGGACGAUGACUGACGUUGAGGCUCGAAAGCGUGGGGAGCAAACAGGAUUAGAUACCCUAGUAGUC
This 440-nucleotide ribosomal RNA is filed under the name uncultured bacterium. Its description in RNAcentral is "partial 16S ribosomal RNA". It matches the Rfam family "Bacterial small subunit ribosomal RNA", at positions 338 to 795 of the family's 1533-position model. The record is from RNAcentral.